UGUAAGCGUAUACCAAAGUUGUUGCAGUUAAAACGCUCGUAGUCGGAAUUUGGCAGUUCCGGAUGUGUGCACGUCGUGUGCGCACUUCGCGGGGAUUGCUUUUGUGGUCUUGCGUAGGAUGAGGCACUUUUAUUAGUGAACGUCCUCACGCAACCACUUUUUACCGUGAGAAAAUCAGAGUGCUCAAAGCAGGCAUUUGCCGUGAAUGUAUUAGCAUGGAAUAAUAGAAUAGGACUUGGUUCUAUUUUGUUGGUUUGUUGGGACUGAGUAAUGAUUAAGAGGGACAGUUGGGGGCAUUUGUAUUUCGGUGCUAGAGGUGAAAUUCUUGGAUUACCGAAAGACAAACUGCUGCGAAAGCGUCUGCCAAGGAUGUUUUCAUUGA
Molecule: ribosomal RNA, 382 nt
Filed under: uncultured eukaryote
Lineage: Eukaryota
Description: partial 18S ribosomal RNA
Rfam family: Eukaryotic small subunit ribosomal RNA
Source: RNAcentral